UACGGGGGGGGCAAGCGUUGUUCGGAUUUACUGGGCGUAAAGGGCGCGUAGGCGGUCGUGACAAGUCACUUGUGAAAUCUCCGGGCUUAACUCGGAACGGUCAAGUGAUACUGUCGGACUAGAGUACAGAAGGGGCAACUGGAAUUCUCGGUGUAGCGGUGAAAUGCGUAGAUAUCGAGAGGAACACCAGUGGCGAAGGCGAGUUUCUGGCCUGCAUCUGACGCUGAGGAGCGAAAGCGUGGGGAGCAAACGGG
This 254-nucleotide ribosomal RNA is filed under the name uncultured prokaryote. Its description in RNAcentral is "partial 16S ribosomal RNA". It matches the Rfam family "Bacterial small subunit ribosomal RNA", at positions 524 to 776 of the family's 1533-position model. The record is from RNAcentral.